RNAcentral lists this ribosomal RNA (684 nucleotides) under Levilactobacillus zymae. RNAcentral's name for it is "bacterial SSU rRNA". It matches the Rfam family "Bacterial small subunit ribosomal RNA", at positions 818 to 1501 of the family's 1533-position model. The record is from RNAcentral. Lineage: Bacteria; Bacillati; Bacillota; Bacilli; Lactobacillales; Lactobacillaceae.
AAGUGUUUGGAGGGUUUCCGCCCUUCAGUGCUGCAGCUAACGCAUUAAGCACUCCGCCUGGGGAGUACGACCGCAAGGUUGAAACUCAAAGGAAUUGACGGGGGCCCGCACAAGCGGUGGAGCAUGUGGUUUAAUUCGAAGCUACGCGAAGAACCUUACCAGGUCUUGACAUCUUCUGCCAAUCUUAGAGAUAAGACGUUCCCUUCGGGGACAGAAUGACAGGUGGUGCAUGGUUGUCGUCAGCUCGUGUCGUGAGAUGUUGGGUUAAGUCCCGCAACGAGCGCAACCCUUAUUAUCAGUUGCCAGCAUUCAGUUGGGCACUCUGGUGAGACUGCCGGUGACAAACCGGAGGAAGGUGGGGAUGACGUCAAAUCAUCAUGCCCCUUAUGACCUGGGCUACACACGUGCUACAAUGGACGGUACAACGAGUUGCGAAGUCGUGAGGCCAAGCUAAUCUCUUAAAGCCGUUCUCAGUUCGGAUUGUAGGCUGCAACUCGCCUACAUGAAGUUGGAAUCGCUAGUAAUCGCGGAUCAGCAUGCCGCGGUGAAUACGUUCCCGGGCCUUGUACACACCGCCCGUCACACCAUGAGAGUUUGUAACACCCAAAGCCGGUGGGGUAACCUUCGGGAGCCAGCCGUCUAAGGUGGGACAGAUGAUUAGGGUGAAGUCGUAACAAGAGCCAG